AGCGGCGGACGGGUGAGUAACGCGUGGGUAACCUGCCUCAUACAGGGGGAUAACAGUUAGAAAUGACUGCUAAUACCGCAUAAGACCACAGCACCGCAUGGUGCGGGGGUAAAAACUCCGGUGGUAUGAGAUGGACCCGCGUCUGAUUAGCUAGUUGGUAAGGUAACGGCUUACCAAGGCGACGAUCAGUAGCCGACCUGAGAGGGUGACCGGCCACAUUGGGACCGAGACACGGCCCAA
RNAcentral lists this ribosomal RNA (240 nucleotides) under uncultured bacterium. Its description in RNAcentral is "partial 16S ribosomal RNA". It matches the Rfam family "Bacterial small subunit ribosomal RNA", at positions 94 to 334 of the family's 1533-position model. The record is from RNAcentral.